RNAcentral lists this long non-coding RNA (529 nucleotides) under Danio rerio (zebrafish). RNAcentral's name for it is "si:ch211-105d18.6 (ENSDARG00000096753.2)". The record is from RNAcentral. Lineage: Eukaryota; Metazoa; Chordata; Actinopteri; Cypriniformes; Danionidae.
GCCACAGAGCGCCAUCUGAUUAGUUUCUUGUUAAUUAUCAUGCAAAUGUGCGUGUUUGGUGUGUGAUAGUUUAAACUGUGAGGGACUGUAGCAGUGAAAAAUGAAAGUACCCGCCCCCAUGACGUCAUUUAGCGGACCUAGCUGAAAACCAGACAGAUCAGGCAGCAUAAUACAGAGAAAGGCAGCAGCUUUACAACCUGUCAUUCAAUCAGAAGAAGACAAAGUCAAAGCCGAGCUGACAGCCAAUCUUUCCUAGACUCAGCAAAACUAGCAAAAAUACCUCUGUAUUCCUGCAACUGCAAUAUUUACACAAAUAUUUCUUAUUCAAAUCUUCAGCACCACUAUUUAACUCGUGAAUUUGUUUUACAUUUAUUUACACCUUGACCAAUUUUUGUAUAACAUGGCCAUUAAAAAUACAAUGUUCCUUAACCAGAUGGUUUUCAAGUUACUUAUAAAGAGAAUGUUACUUCAGUCAUGUUGUUGUAAUGUUUUGAGAAGACCAGUAACACAAUAAAAAAAAAAUCUAAAU